This 204-nucleotide long non-coding RNA is filed under the name Lathyrus oleraceus (garden pea). RNAcentral describes it as "Pisum sativum (pea) long non-coding RNA (PSAT_LNC034989)". Lineage: Eukaryota; Viridiplantae; Streptophyta; Magnoliopsida; Fabales; Fabaceae. The record is from RNAcentral.
AAGGCUUGUCAUAGAUGAAUAAGGAGAAAAGAAAAACCUGAGUCUAGCACUUAAAGGUGAAGGUUCAUACUCAGAUGAUGACAUGACCUUCAUAGUAAAGAACUUCAAAAGAUUUAUGAAGAAUGAGAAAAAACAAGCAGAAGAACAAGAAAAAUAUGAAGAAAAAUCAUUCACUCCAACAUUACAACUGCGAAAAGAAAGGAC